CCCUGGUUAGCUCAGUGGUAGAGCGCUCCACUUGAAAUGGAGAGGUCCCGGGUUUGAUUCCCGGGCCAGGCG
This 72-nucleotide transfer RNA is filed under the name Ixodes scapularis (black-legged tick). It matches the Rfam family "tRNA". Rfam says of the family: Transfer RNA (tRNA) molecules are approximately 80 nucleotides in length. Their secondary structure includes four short double-helical elements and three loops (D, anti-codon, and T loops). Lineage: Eukaryota; Metazoa; Arthropoda; Arachnida; Ixodida; Ixodidae. The record is from Rfam by way of RNAcentral.